CCUACGGGAGGCAGCAGUAGGGAAUCUUUCACAAUGGGCGAAAGCCUGAUGGAGCAACGCCGCGUGCAGGAUGAAGGCCUUCGGGUUGUAAACUGCUUUUAUAAGCGAGAAAUAUGAUGGUAACUUAUGAAUAAGGAUCGGCUAACUACGUGCCAGAAGCCGCGGUCAUACGUAGGAUCCGAGCAUUAUCCGGAGUGACUGGGUGUAAAGAGUUGCGUAGGUGGCAUAAUAAGUAGCUAGUGAAAUCUGGUGGCUCAACCAUUCAGACUAUUAGCUAAACUGUUAAGCUCGAGACCGUUAGGGGUAACUGGAAUGUCUAGUGUAGGAGUGAAAUCCGUAGAUAUUAGAAGGAACACCAAUAGCGUAGGCAGGUUGCUGGGACGGUUCUGACACUAAGGCACGAAAGCGUAGGGAGCAAACGGGAUUAGAUACCCGUGUAGUC
RNAcentral lists this ribosomal RNA (442 nucleotides) under uncultured bacterium. RNAcentral's name for it is "partial 16S ribosomal RNA". It matches the Rfam family "Bacterial small subunit ribosomal RNA", at positions 338 to 795 of the family's 1533-position model. The record is from RNAcentral.